This 481-nucleotide ribosomal RNA is filed under the name uncultured bacterium. RNAcentral's name for it is "bacterial SSU rRNA". It matches the Rfam family "Bacterial small subunit ribosomal RNA", at positions 328 to 793 of the family's 1533-position model. The record is from RNAcentral.
UGACAGUACUCCUACGGGGAGGCAGCAGUCGGGGGAAUAUUGCACAAUGGGCGCAAGCCUGAUGCAGCCAUGCCGCGUGUGUGAAGAAGGCCUUCGGGUUGUAAAGCACUUUCAGUCGUGAGGAAGGUAGUGUAGUUAAUAGCUGCAUUAUUUGACGUUUAGCGACAGAAGAAGCACCGGCUAACUCCGUGCCAGCAGCCGCGGUAAUACGGAGGGUGCGAGCGUUAAUCGGAAUUACUGGGCGUAAAGCGCAUGCAGGUGGUUUGUUAAGUUCAGAUGUGAAAGCCCGGGGCUCAACCUCGGAAUAGCAUUUGAAACUGGCAGACUAGAGUACUGUAGAGGGGGGUAGGAAUUUCAGGUGUAGCGGUGAAAUGCGUAGAGAUCUGAAGGAAUACCGGUGGCGAAGGCGGCCCCCCUGGACAGAUACUGACACUCAGAUGCGAAAGCGUGGGGAGCAAACAGGAUUAGAUACCCCUGGUAG